This 641-nucleotide ribosomal RNA is filed under the name uncultured archaeon. RNAcentral's name for it is "bacterial SSU rRNA". It matches the Rfam family "Archaeal small subunit ribosomal RNA", at positions 668 to 1309 of the family's 1478-position model. The record is from RNAcentral.
GAAGGCGUCCAACCAGAACGGUUCCGACGGUGAGGGACGAAGGCUAGGGGCGCAACCGGAUUAGAUACCCGGGUAGUUCCUAGCUGUAAACGCUGCAGACUUGGUGUUGGAGAUCCCACGAGGGUGUCCAGUGCCGGAGAGAAGUUGUUAAGUUUGCCGCCUGGGAAGUAUGGCCGCAAGGCUGAAACUUAAAGGAAUUGGCGGGGGAGCACCGCAACGGGAGGAGCGUGCGGUUUAAUUGGAUUCAACGCCGGAAAACUCACCGGGGGCGACUGUUACAUGAAGGCCAGUUUGAAGACUUUGCCUAAUUUUCAGAGAGGUGGUGCAUGGCCGUCGUCAGUUCGUACCGCAAGGCGUUCUGUUAAGUCAGAUAACGAACGAGACCCCUGUCCUUAUUUGCUAAGUUAUCCUUCGGGGUGACAGCACUAUAGGGAGACCGCCACUGCUAAAGUGGAGGAAGGAGGGGGCAACGGUAGGUCAGUAUGCCCCGAAUCCCCCGGGCCACACGCGCGCUACAAAGGAUAGGACAAUGGGCUCCGACACCGAAAGGUGAAGGCAAUCCCGAAACCUAUUCAUAGUUCGGAUUGAGGGCUGUAACCCGCCCUCAUGAAGCUGGAUUCCGUAGUAAUNNNNNGGUCAAC